CAGGCACCGCACUCUCCGGGCGUCAGCCAGGAUUCCUCCAGAUCAAGCUCGGUGUGUCCUCGGAGGAGAACCACUGCCUAUGGUGCGCACCUGUCACCCUCAUCUUGUGACCGGGAGAGAAGCAUGGCUUAGAGCCAUGAGAGUGCUUUUAUCUUCCUCACCAAAGGACUAUUCCACAUCAAAACACGAAGAACUUUAUCUUGGCCUUCACUCUGUCAGACACAGAUAAAUCCUGGCAUAAUGUCCAGUAACCAUCGUCAUACAUGUAACUAAAGACCAUGACACCCUGGAGCCUUGUAACAGGAGGAAAACAUCUAGUGCACCGUGGAUCACUUACACGGGGGUCUGUUUCUCCACGCUGCACUCUGGUAUGGAUGUAGACAUUCAAGACACAAUAAAGCUUGAGGUCAGCCUACAGAUGCA
Long non-coding RNA from Felis catus (domestic cat), 423 nucleotides. RefSeq lists it as uncharacterized. The transcript has 2 exons. The record is from RefSeq and is a predicted model, not a curated record. NCBI's taxonomy places the organism in Eukaryota, Metazoa, Chordata, Mammalia, Carnivora, Felidae.